Molecule: ribosomal RNA, 347 nt
Filed under: uncultured bacterium
Lineage: Bacteria
Description: partial 16S ribosomal RNA
Rfam family: Bacterial small subunit ribosomal RNA
Source: RNAcentral
CCUACGGGUGGCAGCAGUGAGGAAUAUUGGUCAAUGGGCGCGAGCCUGAACCAGCCAAGUAGCGUGAAGGAUGAAUGCCCUACGGGUUGUAAACUUCUUUUAUAAAGGAAUAAAGUGAGGCACGUGUGCCUUUUUGUAUGUACUUUAUGAAUAAGGAACGGCUAACUCCGUGCCAGCAGCCGCGGUAAUACGGAGGAUCCGAGCGUUAUCCGGAUUUAUUGGGUUUAAAGGGAGCGUAGAUGGGUUGUUAAGUCAGUUGAGAACGUUUGCGGCUCAACCGUAAAAUUGCAAUUGAUACUGGCAGCCUUGUGUACAGUUGCGGUAGGCUGAAUUCGUGGUGUAGCGGU